This 424-nucleotide ribosomal RNA is filed under the name uncultured cyanobacterium. RNAcentral describes it as "bacterial SSU rRNA". It matches the Rfam family "Bacterial small subunit ribosomal RNA", at positions 356 to 795 of the family's 1533-position model. Lineage: Bacteria; Bacillati; Cyanobacteriota. The record is from RNAcentral.
GGGGAAUUUUCCGCAAUGGGCGAAAGCCUGACGGAGCAAGACCGCGUGGGGGAUGAAGGUUUGUGGAUUGUAAACCCCUUUUGAUUGGGAAGAAUACUGACGGUACCAAUCGAAUAAGCCUCGGCUAACUCCGUGCCAGCAGCCGCGGUAAUACGGAGGAGGCAAGCGUUAUCCGGAAUUAUUGGGCGUAAAGCGUCCGUAGGUGGUUUAGUAAGUCUGCUGUUAAAGCGCGGGGCUUAACUCCGUAUCGGCAGUGGAAACUACUAGACUAGAGUGUGGUAGGGGUAGAGGGAAUUCCCAGUGUAGCGGUGAAAUGCGUAGAUAUUGGGAAGAACACCGGUGGCGAAAGCGCUCUACUGGGCCAUAACUGACACUGAUGGACGAAAGCUAGGGGAGCGAAAGGGAUUANAUACCCCUGNUAGUC